Long non-coding RNA from Numida meleagris (helmeted guineafowl), 509 nucleotides. RefSeq lists it as uncharacterized. The transcript has 2 exons. NCBI's taxonomy places the organism in Eukaryota, Metazoa, Chordata, Aves, Galliformes, Numididae. The record is from RefSeq and is a predicted model, not a curated record.
AAUCGCUGCAGAAAGGAAAAGACAACUGGAAUCAGAUCCAUGCUUUCAGCAGUAUUCUGCAGUCAUCGUGGAUGGGUUUGUCAUUCUGAUAACAUUUCUACAGUGAAAUAAGAUGUUUAUGUCAAGGAAAAAAGAAUAUCUGCCUGACUAUUCCUCCUGUUCAAAACACUAUUGACUGGUGGACACAGGCAUUUUCAACACUGAUGAGGAAGAGAAAUGUUACACCCCAUAAAAACUGAAAAAUCAAUACGAAAGAGUACAUUACAUGUACACAGAGGUGGCUGAGCCUGAAACCAGCCCAGGCGCAAUACCACCACCAGUGAUUCAGAUCUAAUUAACGCCAUCCAGCUCCUGCUGACCCAGAGGGCCUUAUUAACUUGGGUGCAGAUCUGGACCCAAGCUGCCUGCAUGAAAACGUGUGGAUAUCCCCAGGCUGUAAAUUCAGUUUGCAUUGUGGCUGUGACGUUCCCUCUUCCUUUUUUCUAUAUUAGUAAAUAGUUUUAUCUCAA